Molecule: non-coding RNA, 114 nt
Organism: Acanthosepion pharaonis
Lineage: Eukaryota; Metazoa; Mollusca; Cephalopoda; Sepiida; Sepiidae
Source: the annotation of a GenBank genome assembly
UUAUGGCCAUAUCAUGUUGAAACACCGGUUCCCGUACAAACACCGAAUUUAAGAAACGUCGACCCUAGUCAGUACCUAGAUAAGUGACCACUUAGGAAUAACAGAUGCUGUAAG